RNAcentral lists this small RNA (29 nucleotides) under Bombyx mori (domestic silkworm). Its description in RNAcentral is "ovarian small RNA-19427". The record is from RNAcentral. Lineage: Eukaryota; Metazoa; Arthropoda; Insecta; Lepidoptera; Bombycidae.
UAAGUGAUUCCAAACUUUUGCUCGCGUGU